UACGUAGGGUGCAGGCGUUAAUCGGAAUUACUGGGCGUAAAGCGUGCGCAGGCGGUUUCUUAAGUCAGAUGUGAAAUCCCCGGGCUCAACCUGGGAACUGCAUCUGUGACUGCAUAGCUAGAGUACGGUAGAGGGGGAUGGAAUUCCGCGUGUAGCAGUGAAAUGCGUAGAUAUGCGGAGGAACACCGAUGGCGAAGGCAAUCCCCUGGACCUGUACUGACGCUCAUGCACGAAAGCGUGGGGAGCAAACAGG
Molecule: ribosomal RNA, 253 nt
Filed under: uncultured bacterium
Lineage: Bacteria
Description: partial 16S ribosomal RNA
Rfam family: Bacterial small subunit ribosomal RNA
Source: RNAcentral